CUGCAAACCAGAUUCAGAUCAGAUCUUCACAUGCCAGAGUACCUCUGUCAACAUCAAACAGUGAAAAUGCACAAACUUCAGCUACUGCAUCUACGAGUACAGGCCAAGCUUGUCUGAAAUCUGGAAUAAGCAUUCGACUGGAUAAAGCGGCAAUACCAGCUAAACGCCCCCGCUUUGCUGACAAACAACCUGGCGGAUCUAUAGGGAUACUCUAGUUCAGCGGUCGGCAACAAGCGGCCCUCUCACUCGCGGCCCGCGAGCCCCCCUGGC
Molecule: long non-coding RNA, 270 nt
Organism: Cydia splendana
Lineage: Eukaryota; Metazoa; Arthropoda; Insecta; Lepidoptera; Tortricidae
Exons: 3
Source: RefSeq, a predicted model, not a curated record